AGAGUUUGAUCAUGGCUCAGAACGAACGCUGGCGGCGUGCUUAACACAUGCAAGUCGAACGAGAAAGGGGUCUUCGGACCCUAAGUAGAGUGGCGCACGGGUGAGUAACGCGUAGGUAAUCUAUCCUUACAUUUGGGAUAACAUCGGGAAACUGGUGCUAAUACCGAAUGGUCUUCAUUGCUUUGGGGCGAUGGAGUAAAGGUGGCCUCUUCAUGAAAGCUACCGUGUAGGGAUGAGCCUGCGUACCAUUAGCUAGUAGGUGGGGUAAUGGCCCACCUAGGCUACGAUGGUUAGCGGGUCUGAGAGGAUGAUCCGCCACACUGGAACUGAAACACGGACCAGACUCCUACGGGAGGCAGCAGUGAGGAAUAUUGCGCAAUGGGGGAAACCCUGACGCAGCGACGCCGCGUGAGUGAGGAAGGUUUUCGGAUCGUAAAGCUCUGUCAGAAGGGAAGAAGUGUUAUAUGGUUAAUACCCGUAUAAUUUGACGGUACCUUCAGAGGAAGCACCGGCUAACUCCGUGCCAGCAGCCGCGGUAAUACGGGGGGUGCAAGCGUUAUUCGGAAUUACUGGGCGUAAAGAG
RNAcentral lists this ribosomal RNA (583 nucleotides) under uncultured bacterium. RNAcentral describes it as "bacterial SSU rRNA". It matches the Rfam family "Bacterial small subunit ribosomal RNA", at positions 8 to 567 of the family's 1533-position model. The record is from RNAcentral.